UGCCAGCAGCCGCGGUAACAAGGGGGGCGCAAGCGUUAUUCGGAAUCACUGGGCUUAAAGGGCGCGUAGGCGGCUAAUCAAGUCAGGGGUGAAAUCCUUCGGCUCAACCGGAGAAGUGCCUUUGAUACUGAUUGGCUAGAGGGAGGUAGGGGCAGAUGGAACUGGUGGUGGAGCGGUGAAAUGUGUUGAUAUCACUAGGAACGCCGGUGGCGAAAGCGAUCUGCUGGACCUCUUCUGACGCUGAGGCGCGAAAGCUAGGGUAGCAAACGGGAUUAGAUA
Molecule: ribosomal RNA, 279 nt
Filed under: uncultured bacterium
Lineage: Bacteria
Description: partial 16S ribosomal RNA
Rfam family: Bacterial small subunit ribosomal RNA
Source: RNAcentral